This 468-nucleotide ribosomal RNA is filed under the name uncultured bacterium. Its description in RNAcentral is "partial 16S ribosomal RNA". It matches the Rfam family "Bacterial small subunit ribosomal RNA", at positions 28 to 507 of the family's 1533-position model. The record is from RNAcentral.
GACGAACGCUGGCGGCGUGCUUAACACAUGCAAGUCGAACGGAAAGGCACUGCUUUUGUGGGGUGCUCGAGUGGCGAACGCGUGAGUAACACGUGUGUAACCUGCCCUUGACUUUCGGAUAGCUUCAGGAAACUGGGGCUACUACCGUAUAGGAUCUCCUGCUCCAUGGUGGGCGUUGGAAAGUUUCGGCGGUUGGGGAUGGACUAGCGGCUUAUCAGCUUGUUGGUGGGGUAGUGGCUUACCAAGCCUUUGAAGGGUAGCCGGCCUGGGAGGGGGACCGGGCACCAUGGGACUGAGAGACGGAGCAGUGGGGAACGGUAGGCAGUGGGGGGGAGUAUUGCCCAAUGGGCCGGAGCGUGAGGCGAAAGCGUUGGGUGCGGAAUGCCGGCUUUCUGGGUGUGAACCGCUGUAGCUUGUGACGAAGCGUGAGUGACGGUACUGGGUAAAGAAGCACCGGCUAACUACGUG